This is a non-coding RNA of Desmophyllum pertusum, 72 nucleotides long. NCBI's taxonomy places the organism in Eukaryota, Metazoa, Cnidaria, Anthozoa, Scleractinia, Caryophylliidae. The record is from the annotation of a GenBank genome assembly.
UCUCCUGUUGCUCAGUGGUAGAGCCUCUAACCAGUGUGUGGAAGGUCAUAGGUUCAACUCCUGCUGGAGGAA